Molecule: ribosomal RNA, 505 nt
Filed under: uncultured archaeon
Lineage: Archaea
Description: bacterial SSU rRNA
Rfam family: Archaeal small subunit ribosomal RNA
Source: RNAcentral
GCAAUGCGCGAAAGCGCGACAAGGGGAUUCCAAGUGCAUGCACUCAGUGUAUGCUUUUCGUGAGUUUAAAACGCUCAUGGAAUAAGGGCUGGGUAAGACUGGUGCCAGCCGCCGCGGUAAUACCAGCGGCCCUAGUGGUGAUCGUUAUUAUUGGGCCUAAAGCGUCCGUAGCCGGUUCGGUAAAUCUCUGGGUAAAUCGUUGGGCUUAACUCAACGAAUUCUGGGGAGACUGCCGAACUUGGGACCGGGAGAGGUCGGAGGUACUCCAGGGGUAGGGGUGAAAUCCUGUAAUCCUUGGGGGACCACCGGUGGCGAAGGCGUCCGACCAGAACGGGUCCGACGGUAAGGGACGAAGCCCUGGGGCGCGAACCGGAUUAGAUACCCGGGUAGUCCAGGGUGUAAACGCUGUGCGCUUGGUGUUGGGGGUCCCAUGUGGGCAUCCAGUGCCGGAGAGAAGUUGUUAAGCGCACCGCCUGGGGAGUACGGUCGCAAGACUGAAACUUAA